AGAGUUUGAUCCUGGCUCAGGAUGAACGCUAGCGGCAGGCUUAACACAUGCAAGUCGAGGGGCAGCAUAAUGGAUAGCAAUAUCUAUGGUGGCGACCGGCGCACGGGUGCGUAACGCGUAUGCAACCUACCUUUAACAGGGGGAUAACACUGAGAAAUUGGUACUAAUACCCCAUAAUAUCAUAGAAGGCAUCUUUUAUGGUUGAAAAUUCCGAUGGUUAGAGAUGGGCAUGCGUUGUAUUAGCUAGUUGGUGGGGUAACGGCUCACCAAGGCGACGAUACAUAGGGGGACUGAGAGGUUAACCCCCCACACUGGUACUGAGACACGGACCAGACUCCUACGGGAGGCAGCAGUGAGGAAUAUUGGUCAAUGGACGCAAGUCUGAACCAGCCAUGCCGCGUGCAGGAUGACGGCUCUAUGAGUUGUAAACUGCUUUUGUACGAGGGUAAACGCAGAUACGUGUAUCUGUCUGAAAGUAUCGUACGAAUAAGGAUCGGCUAACUCCGUGCCAGCAGCCGCGGUAAUACGGAGGAUUCAAGCGUUAUCCGGAUUUAUUGGGUUUAAAGGGUGCGUAGGCGGUUUGAUAAGUUAGAGGUGAAAUUUCGGGGCUCAACCCUGAACGUGCCUCUAAUACUGUUGAGCUAGAGAGUAGUUGCGGUAGGCGGAAUGUAUGGUGUAGCGGUGAAAUGCUUAGAGAUCAUACAGAACACCGAUUGCGAAGGCAGCUUACCAAACUAUAUCUGACGUUGAGGCACGAAAGCGUGGGGAGCAAACAGGAUUAGAUACCCUGGUAGUCCACGCAGUAAACGAUGAUAACUCGUUGUCGGCGAUACACAGUCGGUGACUAAGCGAAAGCGAUAAGUUAUCCACCUGGGGAGUACGUUCGCAAGAAUGAAACUCAAAGGAAUUGACGGGGGCCCGCACAAGCGGAGGAACAUGUGGUUUAAUUCGAUGAUACGCGAGGAACCUUACCCGGGCUUGAAAGUUAGCGACGAUUCUUGAAAGAGGAUUUCCCUUCGGGGCGCGAAACUAGGUGCUGCAUGGUUGUCGUCAGCUCGUGCCGUGAGGUGUCGGGUUAAGUCCCAUAACGAGCGCAACCCCUACCGUUAGUUGCCAUCAGGUCAAGCUGGGCACUCUGGCGGGACUGCCGGUGUAAGCCGAGAGGAAGGUGGGGAUGACGUCAAAUCAGCACGGCCCUUACGUCCGGGGCUACACACGUGUU
RNAcentral lists this ribosomal RNA (1222 nucleotides) under human gut metagenome. RNAcentral's name for it is "bacterial SSU rRNA". It matches the Rfam family "Bacterial small subunit ribosomal RNA", at positions 8 to 1226 of the family's 1533-position model. The record is from RNAcentral.